CCUUGCUCAGAGAGCAGAGAUGUCCUAUGCUGUGUUUAGUGCUUGACUUUGAAAGGUCCUGGCUCCUCAAGAUGCAACAUGUUUGUUCUCCUUGAUCUUAUGAAGGGCUUGAUCUUCGAUGGGCAAGUUUGACUACUGAUAGAGAAGCAGCUGGGACACCCCCCCCCAACCCAGGUAGUCCAAGGGGGUCAGGAAUCAGGAGUGGGGAUGUCCUUUUGACCUAUGAGUGUCUGUGCCAGACUCUGCAGCGGAUCGCCAUUCUCCUUGCCUUUGUGGAGGCACAGAGAACUUCUGGACCCUGACCCACAAUGCACCAGCCAUGGAAACUCAGGGUGCCACCUCAAUGUCUAUCUACUUGGCCCCAGCUACCCUUGUCCCGUGCUCCUAAUGCUUGUUGGAAAAUCCUGGAAACAUGGCAAGACACCCCCAUACUUGAUUUGAUAUGGAGA
Molecule: long non-coding RNA, 449 nt
Filed under: Cricetulus griseus (Chinese hamster)
Lineage: Eukaryota; Metazoa; Chordata; Mammalia; Rodentia; Cricetidae
Description: lncRNA (ENSCGRG00000026072.1)
Source: RNAcentral